GACGAACGCUGGCGGUGUGCUUAACACAUGCAAGUGGUGCGACGAACCAGAGCUUGCUCUGGGGCAAAGCCGCGAACGGGUGAGUAACACGUGGGUAAUCUACCCCCGAUGACCGGGACAACCCCGAGGAAACUCGGGCUAAUACCGGAUGUGGUACGGAGACAUAAGUCUCUUUACUAAAGGUAGCUUCGGCUUCCGCAUUGGGAGGGGCCCGCGGCCCAUUAGCUAGUUGGUGGGGUCAAGGCCUACCAAGGCAACGAUGGGUAGCUGGUCUGAGAGGACGAUCAGCCACACUGGGACUGAGACACGGCCCAGACUCCUACGGAGGCAGCAGUGGGGAAUCUUGCGCAAUGCGCGAAAGCGUGACGCAGCAACACCGCGUGAGGGAAGACGGCCUUAGGGUUGUAAACCUCUUUCAGAU
RNAcentral lists this ribosomal RNA (421 nucleotides) under uncultured bacterium. RNAcentral's name for it is "bacterial SSU rRNA". It matches the Rfam family "Bacterial small subunit ribosomal RNA", at positions 28 to 441 of the family's 1533-position model. The record is from RNAcentral.